RNAcentral lists this ribosomal RNA (305 nucleotides) under uncultured bacterium. RNAcentral describes it as "bacterial SSU rRNA". It matches the Rfam family "Bacterial small subunit ribosomal RNA", at positions 335 to 656 of the family's 1533-position model. The record is from RNAcentral.
GAUCCUACGGGAGGCAGCAGUGGGGGAUAUUGCACAAUGGGGGAAACCCUGAUGCAGCGACGCCGCGUGUGGGAAGACGGUCCUCUGGAUUGUAAACCACUGUCCCCAGGGACGAAGAUGACGGUACCUGGGGAGGAAGCUCCGGCUAACUACGUGCCAGCAGCCGCGGUAAUACGUAGGGAGCGAGCGUUGUCCGGAAUUACUGGGUGUAAAGGGCGUGUAGCCGGGCUGACAAGUCAGAUGUGAAAUUCCGGGGCUCAACCCCGGACCUGCAUUUGAAACUGUUGGUCUUGAGUAUCGGAGAG